Molecule: transfer RNA, 58 nt
Filed under: Neotoma lepida (desert woodrat)
Lineage: Eukaryota; Metazoa; Chordata; Mammalia; Rodentia; Cricetidae
Source: Rfam by way of RNAcentral
UGGCUCAGUGGUUAAGAGCACUGGCUGCUCUUCCAGUGGACCUGGGUUCAAUUCCUAG